RNAcentral lists this ribosomal RNA (408 nucleotides) under uncultured bacterium. Its description in RNAcentral is "partial 16S ribosomal RNA". It matches the Rfam family "Bacterial small subunit ribosomal RNA", at positions 28 to 526 of the family's 1533-position model. The record is from RNAcentral.
GACGAACGCUGGCGGCGUGCUUAACACAUGCAAGUCGAACGGAGUGGCGAACGGGUGAGUAACACGUGGGUGAUCUGCCUUGCACUUCGGGAUAAGCUUGGGAAACUGGGUCUAAUACCGGCUAUUGCAAGAUGAGCUCGCGGCCUAUCAGCUUGUUGGUGGGGGAAUUGCCUACCAAGGGGUCGACGUGUAGCCGGCCUGAGCGGGGGUACGGCCACAUUGGGGCUGGGCUACGGCCCAGACUCCUACUGGAGGCAGCAGUGGGGAAUAUUGCCCAAUGGGCGGAAGCCUGAUGCAGCGCCGCCGCGUUGGGGAUGAAGGCCUUCGGGUUGUAAACUCCUUUCGACAGGGACGCGGUACCUGUAUAAGAAGCACCGGCUAACUACGUGCCAGCCGCCGCGGUAAUAC